GAUGAACGCUGGCGGCGUGCCUAAUACAUGCAAGUCGAGCGAACGGACGAGAAGCUUGCUUCUCUGAUGUUAGCGGCGGACGGGUGAGUAACACGUGGAUAACCUACCUAUAAGACUGGGAUAACUUCGGGAAACCGGAGCUAAUACCGGAUAAUAUUUUGAACCGCAUGGUUCAAAAGUGAAAGACGGUCUUGCUGUCACUUAUAGCUGGAUCCGCGCUGCAUUAGCUAGUUGGUAAGGUAACGGCUUACCAAGGCAACGAUGCAUAGCCGACCUGAGAGAGUGAUCGGCCACACUGGAACUGAGACACGGUCCAGACUCCUACGGGAGGCAGCAGUAGGGAAUCUUCCGCAAUGGGCGAAAGCCUGACGGAGCAACGCCGCGUGAGUGAUGAAGGUCUUCGGAUCGUAAAACUCUGUUAUUAGGGAAGAACAUAUGUGUAAGUAACUGUGCACAUCUUGACGGUACCUAAUCAGAAAGCCACGGCUAACUACGUG
This 497-nucleotide ribosomal RNA is filed under the name uncultured bacterium. RNAcentral's name for it is "partial 16S ribosomal RNA". It matches the Rfam family "Bacterial small subunit ribosomal RNA", at positions 28 to 507 of the family's 1533-position model. The record is from RNAcentral.